Molecule: ribosomal RNA, 450 nt
Filed under: uncultured bacterium
Lineage: Bacteria
Description: partial 16S ribosomal RNA
Rfam family: Bacterial small subunit ribosomal RNA
Source: RNAcentral
GUGGGGAAUUUUGGACAAUGGGCGCAAGCCUGAUCCAGCCAUGCCGCGUGCAGGAUGAAGGCCUUCGGGUUGUAAACUGCUUUUGUACGGAACGAAAAGACUUCUUCUAAUACAGGAGGUCCAUGACGGUACCGUAAGAAUAAGCACCGGCUAACUACGUGCCAGCAGCCGCGGUAAUACGUAGGGUGCAAGCGUUAAUCGGAAUUACUGGGCGUAAAGCGUGCGCAGGCGGUUAUAUAAGACAGAUGUGAAAUCCCCGGGCUCAACCUGGGAACUGCAUUUGUGACUGUAUAGCUGGAGUACGGUAGAGGGGGAUGGAAUUCCGCGUGUAGCAGUGAAAUGCGUAGAUAUGCGGAGGAACACCGAUGGCGAAGGCAAUCCCCUGGACCUGUACUGACGCUCAUGCACGAAAGCGUGGGGAGCAAACAGGAUUAGAAACCCUAGUAGUCC